GGAUUUGCCCAUCUGCUUCAAUCUCUGCCAAAGUUUUGCGAAUAGUUGUCACACCAUGUAUCUCCUUCAACACAGUACACAGCCAAAGUUGGUCAUACAUAUUACGCUCCUCAGGUUGAACAACGACCAUAAUAACAGCACUGCUAUUGUUGUAUUCAUUCCAUGCUUUAGCUAACGCCUCCGCAUAUCGACUGACAGCAGUGUUUCCAGG
This 211-nucleotide unclassified non-coding RNA is filed under the name Hevea brasiliensis (rubber tree). Lineage: Eukaryota; Viridiplantae; Streptophyta; Magnoliopsida; Malpighiales; Euphorbiaceae. The record is from RNAcentral.